RNAcentral lists this ribosomal RNA (84 nucleotides) under Kineothrix alysoides. RNAcentral describes it as "Bacterial large subunit ribosomal RNA". It matches the Rfam family "Bacterial large subunit ribosomal RNA", at positions 2841 to 2925 of the family's 2925-position model. Lineage: Bacteria; Bacillati; Bacillota; Clostridia; Lachnospirales; Lachnospiraceae. The record is from Rfam by way of RNAcentral.
GAGAGUACGAGGUAGAUAGGCUUAAGGUGGAAGCGCAGCAAUGCGUGUAGCUGAUAAGUACUAAUCGGUCGAGGGCUUAUCCUU